GUGCAGUGAUGUGUGAAUUUCUUCACCUGAAAUCACUGAAGAGGAAAUCGAGCUUUUUAACCCUGAGUCACA
This is a small nucleolar RNA of Grammomys surdaster, 72 nucleotides long. The record is from RefSeq and is a predicted model, not a curated record. Lineage: Eukaryota; Metazoa; Chordata; Mammalia; Rodentia; Muridae.